GAUCCUGGCUCAGGAUGAACGCUAGCUACAGGCUUAACACAUGCAAGUCGAGGGGCGAGCAUGUUGGUUGCUUGCAACCAACGAUGGCGACCGGCGCACGGGUGAGUAACGCGUAUCCAACCUACCCUUGUCCAUCGGAUAACCCGUCGAAAGGCGGCCUAACACGAUAUGCGGUUCUCAGCAGGCAUCUAACGAGAACGAAAUNUAAAGGAGAAGGAUGGGGAUGCGUCUGAUUAG
This 237-nucleotide ribosomal RNA is filed under the name uncultured bacterium. RNAcentral's name for it is "partial 16S ribosomal RNA". It matches the Rfam family "Bacterial small subunit ribosomal RNA", at positions 15 to 244 of the family's 1533-position model. The record is from RNAcentral.